AGGGUUGGAGGGACGAGGUAGAGGGAUGGAGGGAUGAGGUAGAGGGAUGGAGGGAUGAGGUGGAGGGAUGAGGUAGAGGGAUGGCGGGAUGAGGUAGAGGGAUGGAGGGAUGAGGUGGAGAGAUGAGGUAGAGGGAUGGCGGGAUGAGGUAGAGGGAUGGCGGGAUGAGGAGAGGGAUGGAGGGAUGAGGUAGAGGGAUGGCGGGAUGAGGUAGAGGGAUGGAGGGAUGAGGUGGAGGGAUGAGGUAGAGGGAUGGCGGGAUGAGGAGAGGGAUGGAGGGAUGAGGUAGAGGGAUGGCGGGAUGAGGUAGAGGGAUGGCGGGAUGAGGUAGAGGGAUGGAGGGAUGAGGUAGAGGGAUGGAGGGAUGAGGUAGAGGGAUGGAGGGAUGAGGUAGAGGGAUGGAGGGAUGAGGUAGAGGGAUGGAGGGAUGAGGUGGAGGGAUGAGGUAGAGGGA
Long non-coding RNA from Oncorhynchus tshawytscha (Chinook salmon), 454 nucleotides. The record is from Ensembl. Lineage: Eukaryota; Metazoa; Chordata; Actinopteri; Salmoniformes; Salmonidae.